Helianthus annuus (common sunflower) is the source of this 500-nucleotide long non-coding RNA. RefSeq lists it as uncharacterized. The transcript has 3 exons. The record is from RefSeq and is a predicted model, not a curated record. Lineage: Eukaryota; Viridiplantae; Streptophyta; Magnoliopsida; Asterales; Asteraceae.
UCGAACGAACAAAGGGGGAACAAGGUGAAACCCUUGUUUUGCAAAUCCAGUAAAUUGAAGUGGAAAUUCAAGUGUAAUCUGGUGCAUGAACUCCGAUUUACUCUCAUCUAACCUCGAUUAUUAAAGUGGUGUGAAGGAAGAAGGUACAAGCACUAAGAAAACGGAAGACACGCAUGAUCGAGGUAAAUACUCAAUUUAGCCGACUUGGCAAUUUGGAGCGAGCAUAUGCACAUUUGAUGGUUAUCAAGCGCUUCCGCUAUUACGUAUUAUUGUUUCGGGUCAAAUACUCGUUCAUUUUUUUUUUUUAUAAAACUUUGUUAGUGGUUACACUUUUUUUAACACUUUAUGUAUGAUUCUUAGUCGUGUCUAGAUGAACGGGUUGUAGACUUGUUGGUUUUGUUGAUGGUUAAAACAGGGAUAUACUCGUCUUAUGGACGGGUCAUGCCCAAAUUUUAUUAAAUUAGCGCCCAAAUGUUAUUGAUGUCUUUAUGUUUAAUUGC